RNAcentral lists this ribosomal RNA (253 nucleotides) under uncultured bacterium. RNAcentral describes it as "partial 16S ribosomal RNA". It matches the Rfam family "Bacterial small subunit ribosomal RNA", at positions 524 to 776 of the family's 1533-position model. The record is from RNAcentral.
UACAGAGGGGGCAAGCGUUGUUCGGAAUUACUGGGCGGAAAGGGCGCGUAGGCGGCCUGUUAAGUCGAACGUGAAAUCCCCGGGCUCAACCCGGGAACUGCGUCCGAUACUGGCAGGCUUGAAUCCGGGAGAGGGAUGCGGAAUUCCAGGUGUAGCGGUGAAAUGCGUAGAUAUCCGGAGGAACACCGGUGGCGAAGGCGGCUUCCUGGACCGACACUGACGCUGAGGCGCGAAAGCUAGGGGAGCAAACGGG